RNAcentral lists this long non-coding RNA (1207 nucleotides) under Monodelphis domestica (gray short-tailed opossum). RNAcentral's name for it is "lncRNA (ENSMODG00000051055.1)". Lineage: Eukaryota; Metazoa; Chordata; Mammalia; Didelphimorphia; Didelphidae. The record is from RNAcentral.
AAUGCAAGCCCAAUUAGAAGAUCUAAAAUGUUUCUUACAGGAUCAAUGGGCAAACACCCACUCUACCAGAAACAGACCUGUUUCUGAACCUUUGAAUGAGGAAAUUUCCUUCCCUGAAAUAGAGAUGGAAAACACCUUCCCUAUAGCCCAGUUAACAGACUGCUUCUCUCGUGCAGUGCAAAUCUUGUCUGAAUUUAAUCCCCAAAACCCUUCCCCUGCAAUCCCAGCUUCUCAUGUUCCUUCUCCUACAGAAAACCAAAUUCCAAUGCAAGGGAGAUCUUGUCCUCCUAGAGAAACCUGUCCUUGUCAAACUGACCCACAGGUGCAAAAUUCAACUAGAGGCCUGUUUCCUCUAAGAGAAGUACCUGAAAUAGGACGAAAUGGGGAUGUGGUGACUUUAAGACAUAGGAUACCGUUUACUCCCCAAGAAAUAAAUGAAUUUACACGAAAUAUCCCCACAUAUGAACAAGAUCCUUUUCUAGUAACAAAAAAGAUGGGAGACAUAUUUUUUCAAUAUAAUCCGUCUUACAAGGACGUUGAGAGCUUACUACAGGCUUUUUUAAGUGAACGUGAAAAAAAUAAAAUAAUUGCUCAUGUCAACAAAACCCGGGGGCGUAAUGCAGCACAUUGGCCAUCUCAGGAUCCCGAAUGGGACUAUAAUAAUCCUGAGGACUAUCUACAACUAUACCGUUGUAGAGAGGCCAUCCUCACGGCCAUGAAGGAAUGUGCGGACAGUACAGAUAAGUGGAUGGAACUGGAAAAAAUUAAGCAAAAGGAAAAUGAAACACCCUCCAGAUUUAUGGACAGAAUUAUCGAGUUUGGGGACAGAUACUUAGAUUGGGACUUAAAUAAAGAGAAUAGUUUAAGACAAGUUAGAAGAAUCUUUGUAAACAAUUCUUGCAAAGUAAUUAAAAAUUAUUUUAAAACACAAUGCCCAAGAUGGUCAGAUAUGGACCUUGAAGAAUUGCGAAAAACUGCUAUAUAUGUUUUUAAGGGAAACGAAGAAAAGGAGAAAGAGAAUAAUGAUGACAUGGAGGAAAUGAAGAAAAAAAUGAGAUGUGUAAUAGAUAGGAUAACUAAAUUAGAAAGUGAGCAUGAUAAUGAACCAACGGCAAUUGCCCCUCUCCAGAAAUCCAAUUAUCAAUCCAUUACUUGCCACUUCUGUGAGAAGAAGGGCACAAAAUGAUGAAAUGUAAAACCUUUCUUA